This 497-nucleotide ribosomal RNA is filed under the name uncultured Glomeromycotina. RNAcentral describes it as "partial small subunit ribosomal RNA". It matches the Rfam family "Eukaryotic small subunit ribosomal RNA", at positions 591 to 1092 of the family's 1831-position model. Lineage: Eukaryota; Fungi; Glomeromycota. The record is from RNAcentral.
CCAAUAGCGUAUAUUAAAGUUGUUGCAGUUAAAAAGCUCGUAGUUGAAUUUCGAGAUCGGUUUAUUGGUCGUGCUAUUGUACGUACUGGUAUUACCGGUUUCUCCUUUCUGACGAACCAUAAUGCCAUUAAUUUGGUGUUUUGGGAAAUCAGGACUGUUACUUUGAAAAAAUUAGAGUGUUUAAAGCAGGCUCACGCUUGAAUACAUUAGCAUGGAAUAACGGAAUAGGACGUUUGAUUCUAUUUUGUUGGUUUCUAGGAUCGACGUAAUGAUUAAUAGGGAUAGUUGGGGGCAUUAGUAUUCAAUUGUCAGAGGUGAAAUUCUUGGAUUUAUUGAAGACUAACUACUGCGAAAGCAUUUGCCAAGGAUGUUUUCAUUAAUCAAGAACGAAAGUUAGGGGAUCGAAGACGAUCAGAUACCGUCGUAGUCUUAACCAUAAACUAUGCCGACUAGGGAUCGGAUGAUGUUAUUUUUAAUGACUCAUUCGGCGCCUUACG